Molecule: ribosomal RNA, 465 nt
Filed under: uncultured bacterium
Lineage: Bacteria
Description: bacterial SSU rRNA
Rfam family: Bacterial small subunit ribosomal RNA
Source: RNAcentral
UGCCAGACUCCUACGGGAGGCAGCAGUGAGGAAUAUUGGUCAAUGGGCGGGAGCCUGAACCAGCCAAGCCGCGUGAAGGAAGAAGGCGCCAGGCGUCGUAAACUUCUUUUGUCGGGGAACAAAGGGCGCCACGUGUGGCGUUGUGAGUGUACCCGAAGAAAAAGCAUCGGCUAACUCCGUGCCAGCAGCCGCGGUAAUACGGAGGAUGCGAGCGUUAUCCGGAUUUAUUGGGUUUAAAGGGUGCGUAGGCGGAACAUUAAGUCAGCGGUAAAAUCGAGGGGCUCAACCCCUUUAAGCCGUUGAAACUGGUGAUCUUGAGUGGGCGAGAAGUAUGCGGAAUGCGUGGUGUAGCGGUGAAAUGCAUAGAUAUCACGCAGAACUCCGAUUGCGAAGGCAGCAUACCGGCGCCCAACUGACGCUGAAGCACGAAAGCGUGGGUAUCGAACAGGAUUAGAUACCCCCGUA